This 253-nucleotide ribosomal RNA is filed under the name uncultured prokaryote. RNAcentral describes it as "partial 16S ribosomal RNA". It matches the Rfam family "Bacterial small subunit ribosomal RNA", at positions 524 to 776 of the family's 1533-position model. The record is from RNAcentral.
UACAGAGGUCCCAAGCGUUGUUCGGAUUCACUGGGCGUAAAGGGUGCGUAGGUGGCUUUGCAAGUCUGAUGUGAAAGCUCGGAGCUCAACUCCGAAAUGGCAUUGGAUACUGCGGAGCUUGAGGUUCGGAGGGGAGACUGGAAUUCUUGGUGUAGCAGUGAAAUGCGUAGAUAUCAAGAGGAACACCGGUGGCGAAGGCGAGUCUCUGGACGAAAUCUGACACUGAGGCACGAAAGCUAGGGGAGCAAACAGG